Molecule: non-coding RNA, 103 nt
Organism: Lingula anatina
Lineage: Eukaryota; Metazoa; Brachiopoda; Lingulata; Lingulida; Lingulidae
Source: Rfam
UGCUGUGAUGAUGUAAUUUGCGCCGGAUUGGUGUUGCAUGGUGACAGUUGCCUGCUGUCAUAGAACCAUCUCUCCAUUUUGAAGACAAAUACAUGACUGAGCA